CAGGGGGUGCAAGCGUUGCUCGGAAUCACUGGGCGUAAAGCGUACGCAGGCGGACCGUUAAGUCGGGUGUGAAAGCCCGGGGCCCAACCCCGGAACUGCAUUCGAUACUGGCGGUCUUGAAUACGGGAGAGGUGAGUGGAAUUCCUGGUGUAGAGGUGAAAUUCGUAGAUAUCAGGAGGAACACCGGUGGCGAAAGCGGCUCACUGGCCCGAUAUUGACGCUCAUGUACGAAAGCGUGGGGAGCAAACAGGAUUAGAUACCCUGGUAGUCCACGCUGUAAACGAUGAGUGCUAGCUGCUGGAGAUCCUUUUAUUUCUUCGGUGGCGUAGCCAACGCGUUAAGCACUCCGCCUGGGAAGUACGGCCGCAAGGCUA
Molecule: ribosomal RNA, 374 nt
Filed under: uncultured organism
Description: bacterial SSU rRNA
Rfam family: Bacterial small subunit ribosomal RNA
Source: RNAcentral